This is a long non-coding RNA of Danio aesculapii, 1267 nucleotides long. RefSeq lists it as uncharacterized. NCBI's taxonomy places the organism in Eukaryota, Metazoa, Chordata, Actinopteri, Cypriniformes, Danionidae. The record is from RefSeq and is a predicted model, not a curated record. The transcript has 3 exons.
UCAGUGUGUCACUCUACUGGAUUUGGUUCAGUGUUAACACUCUGCCUCCUCAAAUGAUUAAACAGCAGCUAAAGAAGUCAUCCCGAAAUUUUCAUUGGCAAAAGAGGAAGCUUUGAUGGGAAGUCAUGUGACAUCUUUGUCAUUGAACACUAGAACAACAGUUACUAAAUAAUCUUCAAGAAUAGUUAGCAAAAAUCUAGACUUAAGGUGAAGGUUACAAAACUUAAGGUUAUUAAACAGCUUUGGAUCUCUGGUGGGGCUGAGGAAUUUCAGACACUUCUUCCCUCAAGAUCAAGUCUGGGCGAGUCUAGAUGACUGCAAACGCAGUAGAAAGAGGGGAGGUUGGCGGGCCUUUUAUUAACCAGACUGAGGAGAGAACUGACACCUAUCCUGGUCUGACAGCGAUCUGUAAAGACACAGACCACCGCAAAUUAGCAAUAUGCAGCAUCAUAUGUGGCCUCUCCUGCUGUGGAAUUAUGUCCCUUAUGUACUCUGUUAAGGCUCGAGAGACGAGAAAAAUGCUUCAACAUGAAAGCAGCAGAGAAACACAAGCAAAGGCGGAAAAAUACUCUGAAAAAGCUUGUAAAUGGGGAAUUGGGGCGAUUGUAGCCUGGGUGUUUUUAAUUCUCAUCUUUCCAUUUCUGGUGGUAUGUUUUUCCUAUUUUGUAACCUUCAUAGAUUGACUGUGAAACUGUUUACAGUUAAUAAGAGUGUAGACUUUUAAUGCAUACACUGGAUGUUACAUCUAAAUGACUCAAAAAAAGGGCCGUUUUUAGAGAGAGAUGGUCAUUAUUUUAACUUACAGGGGGUGUUAAAUGGUGCUCGCUGCCACAUUCUGUAAAUGUACAACAUUUUAAAUUUGUAUACACUUGUAUGGUUUUAACAGAAAAUACUGGAUGGUUUUGAUAAGCAAAACCACACGUAAAGACUGGUAAAUGACUUUUAAACCCACUACUGCAGAGCAGAAGGGCCAGUGCAGGUAGUUCAAAAGUGGUAAAGCAACUAUCAGGAACUUGUUACAUAUAUUAAAGCCAAACACACAAGAAACUAACAAACUAUUUUUAAUAUCCAGCAAGCUGUUUUUAUUUAGGCUCUUAGUGAAAACGAAACACUCACAGAGAGCAUGGCAGUCAAAUGUUGAAUGCGGUUACAUUAUUAUCAUCAUCAUUCUGUUCUUGUAAAUAAGUUAUUUUGAUAUGUUGUGCUUUUGAUGUUUUGUACAAUGCGUGUCUUUCAGCCUUUGUAAUAAAAUGUGUAACAGUCAAAA